Salvia hispanica is the source of this 1369-nucleotide non-coding RNA. Lineage: Eukaryota; Viridiplantae; Streptophyta; Magnoliopsida; Lamiales; Lamiaceae. The record is from RefSeq and is a predicted model, not a curated record.
UUUCAUCUUUAGCAUCACUGUAUUGUUCUCCGGCGAAAGUUCGCCGCCUCAACCGCGGUUUUUCCUCCUUCCCUAACAUCUAAUUCUCACCCUUAACUUCUAAUUCUCACCCUUAACUUCUAAUUCAAUAGCUUAGUCAUUAACUCAACCCUCCCCCAAUUCUACUCUCAUUUUUCCUUCAUUCAUCUUCCUCCAAACCGAUCAAUUCCUCCUGAAAUUCGGCGAAUCCACAACUGGAAUCCACAAUCUCUCGCUUGAAAUCUCUCUCCGAUUCUACAGCGGAGUGUCUUCCCCACUUUCAUCACAUUCGGCCGAACGCCAGCGAAAUUGCAGUGUCUUCCUCCACCGCCUGCAUCUUAGGUUUAUUCCUUUUUUCUUCCUAAUCGGACGAGAGAAAUUGGAGAGUAGAUCGAUGAUGAGUUCGUUCUCCAAAUCAAAAGGUUCAGGAAUUUAAAUAUAAGCUUCAGAAGGUGGAUUUUUGAUAUGGUAUUGUUUAAACAACACACUUAUGAGAUAAAACAGAUUGAAUGGACUUAUGUCUUGUUAUAUCCAUCACCAGAGCUUUUGUGACACAAGAGCAUACUGUUAUGCAAGAGCAUUACUCUCGCUUUCACUAACGCCUAUCUGUUAUGCCGGUUGACCUCUUGCCAGAAAACAAAUGUUUUGGUUCGAGAGAGAAUCUUUGAAGCCCUCUCCAGUGAUAACUUCUUUGGUGGUCUUGACAUCGACCUUGAUGGAUCAAGUCCAAGAGAUGAUAGUUGUCUCCCUUUCUAUCAGAUGAGCAGCACAAGGAAUUUUGGGAUCAGAUCGCUGAUCAGAGUUUCGACCGUCCACUUAAAACUUACUUUGACAUGUUGAUAUGUAGAUGGAAGAAUUACAGAAGAUGAAGUCAGUGAGGUACUCUUUUUUGGUUAAUGUUAUAGUGUUGAUAAAGAUGCAAAUAGAACAAUCACAUAUAUUGUUAUAGUGUUUUAACAGGCUCGGUCAUGUUUUUUAUUCUUGGUUAAUUCAUUGACCUCAUUGGUCGUUGUAUUGGAUAUGAGCCCUGCAUUACUUCUAGGAAAUGAUUGAGAAACAAUAGAGUGAUUUCUACUCCAGGAGAAGAAAAGUCAAGAUUCAGCUCCAAUGAGGUGAAUUCUUAUCAUCAUACAUGGGUUAAAUGAACACAGAUCUAUGCACAAGCUUUGCUUAAUGAUAAUUGGAAGCAUUGAAGAGAGAAUGUAGAGAGUUAUCAAUCAAAGAAGCAGCUUAGUGUCCUUCAAAUCUCAAAUCUCGAUUACUGUUUAUGAAGCUGUAAUUUACUUAUUGUGGAGGUGGAGUGUUUCACUUAAUCAAAUAUUGUCUCAAUAAAUGUUUUCUUAAUCUUUGA